AGCACUUGUGUUUCUUUUUAUCUUGUGGACAAAGACAGACAACUCCAAAAAAUGCUCUUUUGCAACCCAGAAGUCACUGUUUAGUAUGAGUUCUGAGACAUAUAAGGAUUAUAUA
Otolemur garnettii (small-eared galago) is the source of this 115-nucleotide small nucleolar RNA. The record is from Ensembl. NCBI's taxonomy places the organism in Eukaryota, Metazoa, Chordata, Mammalia, Primates, Galagidae.